RNAcentral lists this ribosomal RNA (253 nucleotides) under uncultured bacterium. Its description in RNAcentral is "partial 16S ribosomal RNA". It matches the Rfam family "Bacterial small subunit ribosomal RNA", at positions 524 to 776 of the family's 1533-position model. The record is from RNAcentral.
UACGAAGGGGGCUAGCGUUGUUCGGAAUUACUGGGCGUAAAGCGCGCGCAGGCGGUCCUUUAAGUCGGGGGUGAAAGCCCAGAGCUCAACUCUGGAACUGCCUUCGAAACUAGAGGACUUGGGUACGGGAGAGGUGAGUGGAAUUCCUGGUGUAGCGGUGAAAUGCGCAGAUAUCAGGAAGAACACCCGUGGCUAAGGCGGCUCUCUAGUACGGUACUGACGCUGAGACGCGAAAGCGUGGGGAGCGAACAGG